UGGGCAACCUGCCCCUAGCUCCGGAAUAACCCCGGGAAACCGAGGCUAAUACCGGAUACGACCCUGCGCGGCAUCUCGCGGGGUGGAAAGUUUUUCAGCUAGGGAUGGGCCCGCGGCCUAUCAGCUUGUUGGUGGGGUAAUGGCCUACCAAGGCGACAACGGGUAGCCGGCCUGAGAGGGUGACCGGCCACACUGGGACUGAGACACGGCCCAGACUCCUACGGGAG
This 227-nucleotide ribosomal RNA is filed under the name uncultured bacterium. RNAcentral's name for it is "partial 16S ribosomal RNA". It matches the Rfam family "Bacterial small subunit ribosomal RNA", at positions 118 to 347 of the family's 1533-position model. The record is from RNAcentral.